This 25-nucleotide non-coding RNA is filed under the name Cricetulus griseus (Chinese hamster). The record is from RNAcentral. Lineage: Eukaryota; Metazoa; Chordata; Mammalia; Rodentia; Cricetidae.
AAAGUUGUGACCCAAUUUACUCUGA